ACGUAGGGUGCGAGCGUUAAUCGGAAUUACUGGGCGUAAAGCGUGCGCAGGCGGUUGGGUAAGACAGAUGUGAAAUCCCCGGGCUUAACCUGGGAACUGCAUUUGUGACUGUCCGACUGGAGUAUGUCAGAGGGGGGUGGAAUUCCAAGUGUAGCAGUGAAAUGCGUAGAUAUUUGGAAGAACACCGAUGGCGAAGGCAGCCCCCUGGGGCAAAACUGACGCUCAUGCACGAAAGCGUGGGGAGCAAACAG
RNAcentral lists this ribosomal RNA (251 nucleotides) under uncultured bacterium. RNAcentral's name for it is "partial 16S ribosomal RNA". It matches the Rfam family "Bacterial small subunit ribosomal RNA", at positions 525 to 775 of the family's 1533-position model. The record is from RNAcentral.